GUGGACAUGGCGGGGUACUAUACAUGCAGUCGAGCGAUGAUGAGGAAGCUUGCUUCCUCUGAUUUAGCGGCGGACGGGUGAGUAACACGUGGGCAACCUACCUUAUAGUUUGGGAUAACUCCGGGAAACCGGGGCUAAUACCAAAUAAUCUCUUUUACUUCAUGGUGAAAGACUGAAAGACGGCUUCUCGCUGUCCCUAUAGGAUGGGCCCCCGGCGCAUUACCUAUUUGGUGAGGUAACGGCUCACCAAGGCAACGAUGCGUACCCAACCUGAAAGGGUGAUCGGCCACCCUGGGACUGAAACACGGCCCAAACUCCUACGGGAGGCACCAGUAGGGAACCUUCCACAAGGGGCAAAAGCCGGAUGGACCAACCCCGCGGGAGUGAAAAAGGAUUUCGGUUCGAAAAACUCUGUUGUAAGGAAAAAACAAUUACCGUAGUAACUGGCGGUACCUUGCCGGUACCUUAUUAAAAAGCCACGGCUAACUACGUGCCACCACCCGCGGUAAUACGUAGGUGGCAGGCGUUGUCCGGAUUUAUUGGGCGUAAAGCGCGCGCAGGUGUUUUCUUAUUUCUGAUGUGAAAGCCCCUGGCUCAACAGUGAAGGAUCAUAGAAAAUGGAGACUUUAAAAGCACAAAAGAAAGAAGUAAUUCAAAUGUAGCGAUGAAAGGAUACAC
This 678-nucleotide ribosomal RNA is filed under the name Lysinibacillus parviboronicapiens. RNAcentral's name for it is "bacterial SSU rRNA". It matches the Rfam family "Bacterial small subunit ribosomal RNA", at positions 29 to 695 of the family's 1533-position model. Lineage: Bacteria; Bacillati; Bacillota; Bacilli; Caryophanales; Bacillaceae. The record is from RNAcentral.